Long non-coding RNA from Vanessa tameamea, 1100 nucleotides. RefSeq lists it as uncharacterized. The transcript has 3 exons. The record is from RefSeq and is a predicted model, not a curated record. NCBI's taxonomy places the organism in Eukaryota, Metazoa, Arthropoda, Insecta, Lepidoptera, Nymphalidae.
UUUACAUCGAUCAGAAAAAACGUGACUUUGACACUUGACAGUACACUUGGGAAAGUGUUUUUCUAUUGCAUCAUUAUUUAAAAAGCAAAUAAGAUGGGGAAUGCUAGCGCAAAAGCCGCGGAAGUGAAAGUGAUUGAAACACCGGCGCCGUCAAACGUCGAGAAAUCUAAACUUAAGCCGUGCUGUGCUUGUCCAGAAACAAAAAGAGUGCGAGAUGCCUGUAUUAUUGAGAAUGGUGAAGAAAAUUGUGGGCCAUUGAUUGAAGAACACAAAGCCUGUAUGCGAAAAAUGGGUUUCAACAUAUAAAAUUCCAAAGUAUAGGUUUUUAAUUAAUUUAUGGUGUACAUAACCUGUAGAAAAACAUUCAUUUAUGGCUUUCGUUGUAAUGUUAUUCUUAUUACUGCUUAAAAAAAAUACUCCGUGGUAAACAUUAUGACAAUUAAAUGAUUGUAAAGAUUAGUAAUGUCAGCUUAGAAAAAUUAUAAUUAAAAAGUAAACUCACAAUGUCUAUUACCAAAAAAAGCCAUAUUAAUGUUCUGGGCAAUAUGUUUUCAUUUUUAAGCUUAAACAUGUUUAUAAGUAGGGUAUGUUAAUGGCAGCUUUUUGUUCUCAUUUAAAAAAAAAACAUUUCAUAAUUUUAUUUAAAAAAUAGAAUAUAACUUUAAAUGUAAAUUAAUUAGAUAUAGAAUAUUUUUCGAUUUAUGUUUAAAUAGUAUUCAUGUGAUUAAAUACAUCUUCAUUCAUGGAUCAUUAAUUCAUUCAUUCACACAUUUCAUUCAUUUUCACUAUUUAUUAGGCGCUAGCCAAAGAUAUUCAUGUCAUUACUACAUUUUAUACAUUAUUGUAGAUGUUUGUGAUUUAUUGUUUAAUUUACAUUAAUAUUUUAGUACCUAUUAAUAAAAUAAUUAUGACAACUUAUAAAAAUUUUGAUAAAAUUACUUUGUAGUGGAAUAGUUAAUCUAAAGUUUGUUAUUUUAAUUUUACUCAUGGGGCUUUAUGAAAACCAAGUGCAUUAGCAAUACCACUAAUAUGUAUGUCGGAGAUCCACAAUAAAUGGAGUGUGAGCCUGUUUAAUUACAUGUCCAAGAGACAUAACAUCU